ACAACAUGCGGCUGGGUUGCGUGGCUUUUGUGAUACUUUUUCUCCGCAGAUGUCUCGGUGCUGAAUUGAUACAGUCUCCGAUGUCCAUCACGCGAAAUGAGGGCAAAAUGGCUAGAAUGACCUGUGAUCUGGGCACAGCGAGCUCGGAGUAUAUCCACUGGUAUCGGCAGCCAGAUGGACAACGCCCGGUCAGGAUCGUUUAUUACAAUAACGGGGGCACCGUGCGCGACGAUGGAAUUGAUGACAGAUUUAAAGCGAGGAAAGAUGGAGAAAAGCUGUAUUCUCUAAGUGUGUACAACCUCAAGAAAGAGGAUUCCGGCACCUAUUAUUGUGCCUAUUUGGGACCCACAGAGUUAAACUGCAACGGGUGCCGCUGACAAAAACUCUUCCUCAGUGCAGAGGUCGCACGAAUCAUUUCCGACUCUGCGAAUUCGCAGUUUAUGCCAUA
Non-coding RNA from Hypanus sabinus (Atlantic stingray), 448 nucleotides. NCBI's taxonomy places the organism in Eukaryota, Metazoa, Chordata, Chondrichthyes, Myliobatiformes, Dasyatidae. The record is from the annotation of a RefSeq genome assembly.